This 255-nucleotide ribosomal RNA is filed under the name uncultured bacterium. Its description in RNAcentral is "partial 16S ribosomal RNA". It matches the Rfam family "Bacterial small subunit ribosomal RNA", at positions 524 to 776 of the family's 1533-position model. The record is from RNAcentral.
UACGUAGGUGGCAAGCGUUGUCCGGAAUCACUGGGCGUAAAAGGGCGCGUAGGCGGCUGGGGGAAGUCGGCGGUGAAAGCCCGGAGCUCAACUCCGGGUCGGCCGUCGAGACUCCUCGGCUCGAGCUCACUAGAGGCAGAUGGAAUUCCGGGUGUAGCGGUGGAAUGCGUAGAGAUCCGGAAGAACACCGGUGGCGAAGGCGGUCUGCUGGGGUGAGGCUGACGCUGAGGCGCGACAGCGUGGGGAGCAAACAGG